Molecule: long non-coding RNA, 180 nt
Organism: Drosophila navojoa
Lineage: Eukaryota; Metazoa; Arthropoda; Insecta; Diptera; Drosophilidae
Source: RefSeq, a predicted model, not a curated record
AUAUGUUCAAUAGUAAAUGAAAAGACAUGUUUUCUUACCGAUAACUUAUCGACGGGGGAAAAAAAAAACAAGAACGGGGAAAAAUAGCAAUUAGCUUCCGUUUGGGCUGUGUCUGGGGCAUCAAUCAGUCGCACAGCACAAUAUUUGUAUAAGCGCGCACACUCACCCGCAGCUAAAAAA